AGUGGCGAACGGGUGAGUAACGCGUGNGUAACCUGCCCUGGAGUGGGGGCGAACAGUUGGAAACGAACUGCUAAUACCGCAUAAGCCCACGGAUCCGCAUGGAUCUGCGGGAAAAGGAUUUAUUCGCUUCAGGAUGGACUCGCGUCCAAUUAGCUAGUUGGUGAGGUAACGGCCCACCAAGGCGACGAUUGGUAGCCGGACUGAGAGGUUGAACGGCCACAUUGGGACUGAGACACGGCCCAGACUCCUACGGGAGGCAGCAUG
This 264-nucleotide ribosomal RNA is filed under the name uncultured bacterium. RNAcentral describes it as "partial 16S ribosomal RNA". It matches the Rfam family "Bacterial small subunit ribosomal RNA", at positions 94 to 353 of the family's 1533-position model. The record is from RNAcentral.